RNAcentral lists this long non-coding RNA (945 nucleotides) under Calidris pugnax (ruff). RNAcentral describes it as "lncRNA (ENSCPUG00000015149.1)". The record is from RNAcentral. Lineage: Eukaryota; Metazoa; Chordata; Aves; Charadriiformes; Scolopacidae.
UUAAUUGCUGAGGCACUCUAUUCUGGCACUCGUUUGGCAGGACAGAGCGGGACCAGCGUACGCACAGCUAGGUCCCUAGCCUGGCUACGGUCUGCAACUGGUUCUACCACAGCAGCCUGCUCAGGGAGAAAGAGGAGAAGAAAAAUUAACUGGUCUCAGACUAACCCAAAUACCGAAGAGAUUUGGACCGGCUUUAUAAAUUAAACAGUACACGAUGACAGCUUCGGGGCGAAACAGAACAUAGUUGGAACCAAAAGCGUUCUGGAUUUGCAUCAUAACAGUCGGAACCCUUUUCUUGCCCUUCCCUUUGUCAUUUAUAGUUCAUCCAUUUACUUAAACCUCAAGCCUGGUGGGAGGAAAAGAGAAAAAAUCAGGAAUCCCAUGUGGACUCUGAAUCUCUGCCAGUAACAGGUGACCCCAAGAACUACCCGCUGAAAGCCUCUGUCCCCACUGAAAUGUCACCUUCUUCAUCUUUGGCAAUGUCCUGCUCCAUGUGCAGCUUCUGCCUCCCUCAGUGCCGUGGCCAUGGCUCCACCAGAAUCACACUGGUGGAUGAUUUAUUUGUGGAGAGAGAGACUUCCUAUAUGACUAUUGAGUAUCAAUUCUUUGAUCAGUGCAGAGCAGAUUUAAGGAAGUAAAUUCCACCUAAGAUUGUGAGUGGGAGAUAGAAAAGUACAAAGCAGCCAUCUUUUCUCUUUCAUCAGAAAGACAACACAUAAAAACCAGGCACAAUACUUUAAAGGGAAUGCUAGCAAAACUUCAUGUAUUUCUACUCUAAAAGUACAUUUCUACCAUCUUUGAAUGUACACUCUACCUGUGAUAUUCCACAGUUUGCUCUUCUAAACUGUAUUAAGCAGCUUAUAUAUGUUUAAGCUUUUGCUUUCAGAAAUGAAUUAAUGUAAUUAUUUGAAUGUUGAAUUAAAAAUAAAUUUAUUUGGAAACUCA